Molecule: ribosomal RNA, 524 nt
Filed under: uncultured bacterium
Lineage: Bacteria
Description: bacterial SSU rRNA
Rfam family: Bacterial small subunit ribosomal RNA
Source: RNAcentral
CGGGCGUGGAUUAGGCAUGCAAGUCGAACGGUAGAUAUCCUUCGGGAUAUUGAGAGUGGCGAACGGGUGAGUAACACGUAGAUGAUCUACCCUCAAAUGGGGGACAACCCAGGGAAACUUGGGCUAAUACCGCAUGAGUGCAGCGCAUAAAGCAUCUUUUAGGUGGGUGUUUUUAUGCGUUUGCAUAAAAAGGUGGCCUUUCGGGCUGUCGUUUUGAGGAUGAGUCUGCGUCCUAUUAGUUAGUUGGUGAGGUAAUGGCUCACCAAGGCGAUGAUAGGUAGGCGGCCUUAACGGGUGGCCGCCCACACUGGGAUUGAGAUACGGCCCAGACUCCUACGGGAGGCAGCAGUCGAGAAUAGUCUACAAUGGACGAAAGUCUGAUAGUGCGACGCCGCGUGAACGAAGAAUCCCUUCGGGGUGUAAAAAGUUCUUUUAUAUGUGAGCAAUGCUUUUUAUGUGAAUAGCAUGAGAAGAGAGAUAUUAGCAUAUGAAUAAGCAACGGCUAACUCCGUGCCAGCCGCCGC